GACGAACGCUGGCGGCGUGCUUAACACAUGCAAGUCGAACGGAAAGGCCCUGCUUUUGUGGGGUGCUCGAGUGGCGAACGGGUGAGUAACACGUGAGUAACCUGCCCUUGACUUUGGGAUAACUUCAGGAAACUGGGGCUAAUACCGGAUAGGAGCUCCUGCUGCAUGGUGGGGGUUGGAAAGUUUCGGCGGUUGGGGAUGGACUCGCGGCUUAUCAGCUUGUUGGCGGGGUAGUGGCUUACCAAGGCUUUGACGGGUAGCCGGCCUGAGAGGGUGACCGGCCACAUUGGGACUGAGAUACGGCCCAGACUCCUACGGGAGGCAGCAGUGGGGAAUAUUGCACAAUGGGCGGAAGCCUGAUGCAGCAACGCCGCGUGCGGGAUGACGGCCUUCGGGUUGUAAACCGCUUUCGCCUGUGACGAAGCGUGAGUGACGGCAAUGGGUAAAGAAGCACCGGCUAACUACGUG
This 468-nucleotide ribosomal RNA is filed under the name uncultured bacterium. RNAcentral describes it as "partial 16S ribosomal RNA". It matches the Rfam family "Bacterial small subunit ribosomal RNA", at positions 28 to 507 of the family's 1533-position model. The record is from RNAcentral.